This 734-nucleotide ribosomal RNA is filed under the name uncultured Lachnospiraceae bacterium. Its description in RNAcentral is "bacterial SSU rRNA". It matches the Rfam family "Bacterial small subunit ribosomal RNA", at positions 28 to 776 of the family's 1533-position model. The record is from RNAcentral. Lineage: Bacteria; Bacillati; Bacillota; Clostridia; Lachnospirales; Lachnospiraceae.
GACGAACGCUGGCGGCGCGCCUAACACAUGCAAGUCGAACGGAGCUUAGAGAGCUUGCUUUUUAAGCUUAGUGGCGAACGGGUGAGUAACGCGUGAGUAACCUGCCCUAGAGUGGGGGACAACAGUUGGAAACGACUGCUAAUACCGCAUAAGCCCACGGUACCGCAUGGCACUGAGGGAAAAGGAUUUAUUCGCUUUAGGAUGGACUCGCGUCCAAUUAGCUAGUUGGUGAGGUAACGGCCCACCAAGGCGACGAUUGGUAGCCGGACUGAGAGGUUGAACGGCCACAUUGGGACUGAGACACGGCCCAGACUCCUACGGGAGGCAGCAGUGGGGGAUAUUGCACAAUGGGGGAAACCCUGAUGCAGCGACGCCGCGUGGAGGAAGAAGGUUUUCGGAUUGUAAACUCCUGUCGUUAGGGACGAUAAUGACGGUACCUAACAAGAAAGCACCGGCUAACUACGUGCCAGCAGCCGCGGUAAAACGUAGGGUGCAAGCGUUGUCCGGAAUUACUGGGUGUAAAGGGAGCGCAGGCGGGAAGACAAGUUGGAAGUGAAAACCAUGGGCUCAACCCAUGAAUUGCUUUCAAAACUGUUUUUCUUGAGUAGUGCAGAGGUAGAUGGAAUUCCCGGUGUAGCGGUGGAAUGCGUAGAUAUCGGGAGGAACACCAGUGGCGAAGGCGGUCUACUGGGCACCAACUGACGCUGAGGCUCGAAGCAUGGGUAGCAAACAGG